This 872-nucleotide ribosomal RNA is filed under the name uncultured Pelagibacterales bacterium. RNAcentral's name for it is "bacterial SSU rRNA". It matches the Rfam family "Bacterial small subunit ribosomal RNA", at positions 8 to 926 of the family's 1533-position model. Lineage: Bacteria; Pseudomonadati; Pseudomonadota; Alphaproteobacteria; Candidatus Pelagibacterales. The record is from RNAcentral.
AGAGUUUGAUCCUGGCUCAGAACGUACGCUGGCGGCACGCCUUAUACAUGCAAGUCGAACGAAGUAGCAAUACUUAGUGGCAGACGGGUGAGUAACAUGUGGGUAUCUUCCCUUUGGUGAGGAAUAACACGAGGAAACUUGUGCUAAUACCUCAUAAGUCUUUACGGAGAAAGCUUUACGCGCCAAUGGAUGAGCCCGCACUUGAUUAGUUUGUUGGUGGGGUAAUGGCCUACCAAGACUGUGAUCAAUAGCUGAUUUGAGAGGAUGAUCAGCCACAUUGGGACUGAGACACGGCCCAAACUCCUACGGGAGGCAGCAGUAGGGAAUCUUGCACAAUGGAGGAAACUCUGAUGCAGCGAUGCCGCGUGAGUGAAGAAGGCCUUUGGGUUGUAAAGCUCUUUCGUCGGGGAAGAGAAUGACUGUACCCGAAUAAGAAGGUCCGGCUAACUUCGUGCCAGCAGCCGCGGUAAUACGAAGGGACCUAGCGUAGUUCGGAAUUACUGGGCUUAAAGAGUUCGUAGGUGGUUAAAAAAGUUGGUGGUGAAAUCCCAGAGCUUAACUCUGGAACUGCCAUCAAAACUUUUUAGCUAGAGUAUGAUAGAGGAAAGUAGAAUUUCUAGUGUAGAGGUGAAAUUCGUAGAUAUUAGAAAGAAUACCAAUUGCGAAGGCAGCUUUCUGGAUCAUUACUGACACUGAGGAACGAAAGCAUGGGUAGCGAAGAGGAUUAGAUACCCUCGUAGUCCAUGCCGUAAACGAUGUGUGUUAGAUGUUGGAAAUUUAUUUUCAGUAUCGCAGCGAAAGCAAUAAACACACCGCCUGGGGAGUACGACCGCAAGGGUUAAAACUCAAAUGAAAUUGACGGGGACCCGCAC